This 383-nucleotide ribosomal RNA is filed under the name uncultured eukaryote. RNAcentral's name for it is "partial 18S ribosomal RNA". It matches the Rfam family "Eukaryotic small subunit ribosomal RNA", at positions 592 to 976 of the family's 1831-position model. The record is from RNAcentral.
CAAUAGCGUAUAUUAAAGUUGUUGCAGUUAAAAAGCUCGUAGUUGGAUUUCUGGUAGGAGUGACCGUUCCGAACUUGAUUGUUCGUGUAUUGUGUUUUCUCCAGCCAUCCUUGUGGAGAACUUUUCUUGCAUUAAUUUGUAGGGAUUGGGACCCGCAUCGUUUACUGUGAAAAAAUUAGAGUGUUUAAAGCAGGCAAUCGCUUGAAUACAUUAGCAUGGAAUAAUAAGAUAGGACUUUGGUACUAUUUUGUUGGUUUGCAUACCAAAUUAAUGAUCAACAGGAACAGUUUGAGGAUAUUCGUAUGAACAUGUCAGAGGUGAGAUUCUUGGAUUUUGAUCAGACGAACUACUGCGAAAGCAUUUAUCAAGGAUGUUUUCAUUAA